GACGAACGCUGGCGGCGUGCUUAACACAUGCAAGUCGAACGGAAAGGCCUCUUUCGGGGGGUACUCGAGUGGCGAACGGGUGAGUAACACGUGAGUAACCUGCCCUUGACUUUGGGAUAACUUCAGGAAACUGGGGCUAAUACCGGAUAGGAGCUCCUGCUGCAUGGUGGGGGUUGGAAAGUUUCGGCGGUUGGGGAUGGACUCGCGGCUUAUCAGCUUGUUGGUGGGGUAGUGGCUUACCAAGGCUUUGACGGGUAGCCGGCCUGAGAGGGUGACCGGCCACAUUGGGACUGAGAUGCGGCCCAGACUCCUACGGGAGGCAGAAGUGGGGAAUAUUGCACAAUGGGUGGAAGCCUGAUGCAGCAACGCCGUGGGCGGGAUGACGGCCUUCGGGUUGUAAACCGCUUUCGCUCAUGACGAAGCUUUGUGUGACGGUAGUGGGUAAAGAAGCACCGGCUAACUACGUG
Molecule: ribosomal RNA, 467 nt
Filed under: uncultured bacterium
Lineage: Bacteria
Description: partial 16S ribosomal RNA
Rfam family: Bacterial small subunit ribosomal RNA
Source: RNAcentral